AAUCAACGACUGUAGAAUUCACAGACUAAUGCUCUACCACUGUGUCACUGCCAUACGAACACAAUGUAUGUACAACCAUGGACUACUACAUCUAGAGGACGAGACUCUUCGAGGUUUCCUAUGUCGGCCAUGAGAAAGGGAAGAAAGUCCGUUUCACCGGUGCUACCUAGCGGCCAAGUUCCAGAAGCUCUUACAACUAAACGUCUGCGACCGGCAAAAUUUGAAACAUUUUUUGAAAAUCUUUUGUCUCUGUUUUCAACCUAUUUACAUAAUUUUCUAACGUUGGGAAACAUACAUAUAAAAAACAGUU
This is a long non-coding RNA of Daphnia magna, 310 nucleotides long. RefSeq lists it as uncharacterized. The transcript has 2 exons. NCBI's taxonomy places the organism in Eukaryota, Metazoa, Arthropoda, Branchiopoda, Diplostraca, Daphniidae. The record is from RefSeq and is a predicted model, not a curated record.